RNAcentral lists this ribosomal RNA (414 nucleotides) under uncultured bacterium. RNAcentral's name for it is "bacterial SSU rRNA". It matches the Rfam family "Bacterial small subunit ribosomal RNA", at positions 29 to 429 of the family's 1533-position model. The record is from RNAcentral.
AAUCAACGCUGGCGGCGUGCCUAACACAUGCAAGUCGAACGCGAGAGUCCCGCAAGGGACAAUUGAGUGGCAAACGGGUGAGUAACACGUGGGUGACCUGCCUUCGAGUGGGGGAUAACGUCCCGAAAGGGACGCUAAUACCGCAUGACAUCCUGCCUUUGGACAGGCGGAGAUCAAAGCCGGGGAUCGCAAGACCUGGCGCUUGAAGAGGGGGCCCGCGUCUGAUUAGCUAGNGGUGAGGUAACGGCUCACCAAGGCGACGAUCAGUAUCCGGCCUGAGAGGGCGGACGGACACACUGGGACUGAGACACGGCCCAGACUCCUACGGGAGGCAGCAGUAAGGAAUAUUGCGCAAUGGGCGAAAAGCCUGACGCAGCGACGCCGCGUGGGGGAUGAAGGUCUUCGGAUUGUAAA